GAUGAACGCUAGCUACAGGCUUAACACAUGCAAGUCGAGGGGUAACGAGAGGAAAGCUUGCUUUCCUUGUCGACGACCGGCGCACGGGUGAGUAACGCGUAUCCAACCUGCCCCCAACUAAGGAAUAACCUUGCGAAAGUAAGACUAAUACCUUAUAAUUUCUUCAGAUGUCAUCUGACGAGGAAUAAAGAUUUAUCGGUUGUGGAUGGGGAUGCGUCUGAUUAGCUUGUUGGCGGGGUAACGGCCCACCAAGGCAACGAUCAGUAGGGGUUCUGAGAGGAAGGUCCCCCACAUUGGAACUGAGACACGGUCCAAACUCCUACGGGAGGCAGCAGUGAGGAAUAUUGGUCAAUGGGCGAAAGCCUGAACCAGCCAAGUAGCGUGCAGGAUGACGGCCCUAUGGGUUGUAAACUGCUUUUAUGCAGGAAUAAAGUUAGCCACGUGUGGUUAUUUGUAGGUACUGUAUGAAUAAGGACCGGCUAAUUCCGUGCCAGCAGCCGCCGUAA
RNAcentral lists this ribosomal RNA (506 nucleotides) under uncultured bacterium. RNAcentral's name for it is "partial 16S ribosomal RNA". It matches the Rfam family "Bacterial small subunit ribosomal RNA", at positions 28 to 523 of the family's 1533-position model. The record is from RNAcentral.